UACGUAGGGGGCAAGCGUUGUCCGGAUUUAUUGGGCGUAAAGAGCGUGUAGGCGGCCAUUCAAGUCAGGGGUGAAAGCCCAAGGCUCAACCUUGGAAUUGCCUUUGAUACUGUUUGGCUUGAGACCGGAAGAGGUCGGCGGAACUGCGAGUGUAGAGGUGAAAUUCGUAGAUAUUCGCAAGAACACCGAUAGCGAAGGCAGCUUACCAAGCUGUAACUGACGCUGAGGCACGAAAGUGUGGGGAUCAAACAGG
Molecule: ribosomal RNA, 253 nt
Filed under: uncultured bacterium
Lineage: Bacteria
Description: partial 16S ribosomal RNA
Rfam family: Bacterial small subunit ribosomal RNA
Source: RNAcentral